UGAAGAAUAUCUACAUGUUUUCUGCUG
RNAcentral lists this non-coding RNA (27 nucleotides) under Rattus norvegicus (Norway rat). Lineage: Eukaryota; Metazoa; Chordata; Mammalia; Rodentia; Muridae. The record is from RNAcentral.